AAACUGCGAUACGUAAUGUGAAUUGCAGAACUUAGUGAAUCAUCGAAUCUUUGAACGCAAAUGGCGCUCCCGGCAUUCCCGGGAGCAUGUCUGUCUGAGUGUCAUUUAAAUAACCUCACGUUCCGCAACGAAAGUUGUAUGAAUGUGGCAGUGAGGCGGUCACGGACCUUUAGUCAUUGAAAGUCCGAGUCCCUUCAAAGAACGAGACGCGCAAAGCCGAUUUACUUCCAAAUCGCUCGCCCAAAACAUGGUGUGACAAUUUGCUCGAAUGCGUAGCACUUUACUAACGCUAUGGCUGGGUCGAGCGGCACGGGAGAGGCAAUGUGUGGUCCACUUUUGAAAUGUUCGCAAGAACAUUUUACUUUUCAACCUUGACCUCAGAUCAGGCAAGAUUACCCGC
This 400-nucleotide unclassified non-coding RNA is filed under the name uncultured fungus. RNAcentral's name for it is "sequence contains ITS1". The stretch from base 1 to 104 matches the Rfam family "5.8S ribosomal RNA", at positions 50 to 154 of the family's 154-position model. Lineage: Eukaryota; Fungi. The record is from RNAcentral.